GCAUUCUAUUCGUUUAAGAUAAGCCGGCAAUAAAAAAGUGGUAAAACUAUCCACGAUUGUGGGCUUUUUGUUGUGCUUAUUUUUACGAAUCAGGGCAUGGAUACAGGUUAGGUAUGGCUUUUUCCCGCUAUCCCUUUCUCUUUGUUUGCCUUUUCUCGUUGAUAUGCAGAUCCAAAGCCCGCAUUGCGGACUUGGGCCUGUAUUUUUUAU
RNAcentral lists this non-coding RNA (210 nucleotides) under Desulforamulus ruminis DSM 2154. RNAcentral's name for it is "Desulfotomaculum ruminis DSM 2154 Enterococcus sRNA 1300". It matches the Rfam family "Enterococcus sRNA 1300". From Rfam's summary of the family: Expressed in mid and late exponential phases of growth. Expression remained uniform under daptomycin exposure. The record is from Rfam by way of RNAcentral. Lineage: Bacteria; Bacillati; Bacillota; Clostridia; Eubacteriales; Peptococcaceae.